GAGUUGGAGGAAGUUUAAGAAAUAUUACACAACGGCAAUGUGGGACUGAACUCCAGCUAUCUCACUGCAGUUUACUGUCAUAGUGUUUCCAGAUUAAUUCCCAUCGAAAAAUCGUAGUGUGAUGGGCAGCAUAACAAGAAAGGAAGAAAAGAGCGAGAGGGGAGAAGACGGCUCAGACGUGCCGCCAAGUGUCGCUGUCAGCUGUGCGGUGUGUUGUCAGCUGUGUCAGUCCCACCCCCUGCCUGCCGCCUGCCCAGCUGCCCUAAGCCUUUCCUGCACUGACGUUUGACUGGCUGGUCACUUAAACGCACAGUCAUUAGCGCUAUGUUUAUGAUUGCCCUCCUUGGCCCUAGCCAAGCGCGGACGACCGAUGAUGUGAGAAAUUUUAAGAUUUGCUCCAUUGUGAAGAAAACUGCAGACGCGAGGCAAGAAAUGAGUGGAACAGGAAGAUGAAACCACACAACAGCCCUUAUCAGAAAGAAGGCAUGCUUCAUUUCAUCCUCACCUGCACUCACUACCUACUAAGGGCAGGUGGUGACAAUUACCUCCCUGGUACCCUGGCACCCUGGAACUCUGGCACUCACCUUCCCAGCCCACGGCAAGCAGCGGUGGUACGUUGUGCUUUAUGACAAACCUCUCCUCAAUCACCAUCUGUGUUGCUGUGACAAUCUGUGCCAUGAUGAUGAGGAGGUCACCUGUGGGUCACACAGAUUUGAUAGAGAAGGAUGGAGAAAUUAAUAAAAAAAAGAGGAAAAUUGGUGAAAGAAGAAGAGAAAGGAGAGAGGAGAAAAAGAUAACAUAAAAUGGGACGUGUUGAAGAAGAGGAGAUAAAAAAACAAGGAAAAUAUAAGGAAAAUAGACGCUUUAUGAGCCACUGUCCUUACCUCUCAACAUCU
Portunus trituberculatus (swimming crab) is the source of this 896-nucleotide long non-coding RNA. RefSeq lists it as uncharacterized. NCBI's taxonomy places the organism in Eukaryota, Metazoa, Arthropoda, Malacostraca, Decapoda, Portunidae. The record is from RefSeq and is a predicted model, not a curated record. The transcript is spliced from 3 exons.